UACGUAGGGUGCUAGCGUUGUCCGGAUUUAUUGGGCGUAAAGAGCGUGUAGGCGGCCAGAUAGGUCCGUUGUGAAAACUCGAGGCUCAACCUCGAGACGCCGAUGGAAACCAUUUGGCUAGAGUCCGGAAGAGGAGAGUGGAAUUCCUGGUGUAGCGGUGAAAUGCGCAGAUAUCAGGAAGAACACCCGUGGCUAAGGCGGCUCUCUAGUACGGUACUGACGCUGAGACGCGAAAGCGUGGGGAGCGAACAGG
RNAcentral lists this ribosomal RNA (253 nucleotides) under uncultured bacterium. RNAcentral describes it as "partial 16S ribosomal RNA". It matches the Rfam family "Bacterial small subunit ribosomal RNA", at positions 524 to 776 of the family's 1533-position model. The record is from RNAcentral.